GUGGGGAAUCUUGCGCAAUGGGCGAAAGCCUGACGCAGCCAUGCCGCGUGAAUGAUGAAGGUCUUAGGAUUGUAAAAUUCUUUCACCGGGGACGAUAAUGACGGUACCCGGAGAAGAAGCCCCGGCUAACUUCGUGCCAGCAGCCGCGGUAAUACGAAGGGGGCUAGCGUUGCUCGGAAUUACUGGGCGUAAAGGGCGCGUAGGCGGACAGUUUAGUCAGAGGUGAAAGCCCAGGGCUCAACCUUGGAAUUGCCUUUGAUACUGGCUGUCUUGAGUACGGGAGAGGUGAGUGGAACUCCGAGUGUAGAGGUGAAAUUCGUAGAUAUUCGGAAGAACACCAGUGGCGAAGGCGACUCACUGGCCCGUUACUGACGCUGAGUCGCGAAAGCGUGGGGAGCAAACAGGAUUAGAUACCCUGGUAGUCC
RNAcentral lists this ribosomal RNA (425 nucleotides) under uncultured bacterium. RNAcentral's name for it is "partial 16S ribosomal RNA". It matches the Rfam family "Bacterial small subunit ribosomal RNA", at positions 354 to 796 of the family's 1533-position model. The record is from RNAcentral.